UACGUAGGGUCCGAGCGUUGUCCGGAAUUAUUGGGCGUAAAGAGCUUGUAGGUGGUUUGUCGCGUCUGCUGUGAAAAUCCGAGGCUCAACCUCGGGCCUGCAUUCGAUACGGGCUGACUAGAGUUCGGUAGGGGAGACUGGAAUUCCUGGUGUAGCGGUGGAAAUGACGCAGAUAUCAGGAGGAACACCGGUGGCGAAGGCGGGUCUCUGGGCCGAUACUGACGCUGAGGAGCGAAAGCGUGGGGAGCGAACAGG
RNAcentral lists this ribosomal RNA (255 nucleotides) under uncultured bacterium. RNAcentral's name for it is "partial 16S ribosomal RNA". It matches the Rfam family "Bacterial small subunit ribosomal RNA", at positions 524 to 776 of the family's 1533-position model. The record is from RNAcentral.